UGAGGCAUCUGAUCAAAAUCUGCCUUGAGCUUAAAAAAUUAUAUUUGUAAAUAUAUUUUUCUCUCAUGCAAGGGAGAAGAGCAGCUGAAUACUCUGGCAGCUGUUCAAGGGCCCCACUGCUAUAAAUAAAAGUAUUUCAGGGUUGUAAAAGGAAAUUAGAGCCAGAGAGCAAAAGGUCACACUGACCAGAAUACAAUCAAGCUGUAAAAACACAAUUAAGAACUGGUAAAUAGUGAAAUUUAUUGUUUAACAGAAGACUCGAGCCAUAAGGUUAAAGGUUAAAUGGAAGAAACAGCCGCUGGUUAGGGAAAAAGGUUUCUUAUAGAACUUAGGAACUUAGCUUUUACUAAAUUCCUUUAAUUUGAAAAGGCCUUUCCUUCUAAAAAUCUAUCUAUGUUAUGUAUGAAAUAUAUUGGCUUAAAUGUGAUUAUGCAAAGGAUUUAGAAAGUAAGAAAUGUUAGAUUCUUAUAGAUUCCUAUUAUGGUGGGUGAGAAGGUGAACUCAAGAUCUCUUU
RNAcentral lists this long non-coding RNA (514 nucleotides) under Podarcis lilfordi (Lilford's wall lizard). Lineage: Eukaryota; Metazoa; Chordata; Lepidosauria; Squamata; Lacertidae. The record is from RNAcentral.